AUUUGCAGUCGUGAUGAACAACUGUGUUUUGGACUAGAGUUUCUGAUACUGCUACAUAGUGGUAGUAGUUGACGACCAAACCCUUGGCUGUCUGAACUCAAAU
This is a small nucleolar RNA of Dichanthelium oligosanthes, 103 nucleotides long. It matches the Rfam family "Small nucleolar RNA Z157/R69/R10". From Rfam's summary of the family: Z157, R69 and R10 are members of the C/D class of snoRNA which contain the C (UGAUGA) and D (CUGA) box motifs. Most of the members of the box C/D family function in directing site-specific 2'-O-methylation of substrate RNAs. The record is from Rfam. Lineage: Eukaryota; Viridiplantae; Streptophyta; Magnoliopsida; Poales; Poaceae.